RNAcentral lists this ribosomal RNA (253 nucleotides) under uncultured bacterium. Its description in RNAcentral is "partial 16S ribosomal RNA". It matches the Rfam family "Bacterial small subunit ribosomal RNA", at positions 524 to 776 of the family's 1533-position model. The record is from RNAcentral.
GACGAACCGUGCGAACGUUGUUCGGAAUCACUGGGCUUAAAGGGCGCGUAGGCGGGCUCGCAAGUCCGGGGUGAAAGCCCCCAGCUCAACUGGGGAAGUGCCUUGGAUACUGCGGGCCUCGAGGGAGGUAGGGGCGUGCGGAACUUCCGGUGGAGCGGUGAAAUGCGUAGAUAUCGGAAGGAACACCGGUGGCGAAAGCGGCGCGCUGGACCUCUUCUGACGCUGAGGCGCGAAAGCCAGGGGAGCAAACGGG